Baffinella frigidus is the source of this 73-nucleotide non-coding RNA. Lineage: Eukaryota; Cryptophyceae; Cryptomonadales; Baffinellaceae. The record is from the annotation of a GenBank genome assembly.
GGGUAUAUAGCUCAAUUGGCAGAGUGUCCGCUUAGCAUGCGGGAAGUUCUGGGUUCGAUUCCCAUUAUAUCCA